Molecule: small RNA, 301 nt
Filed under: Pan troglodytes (chimpanzee)
Lineage: Eukaryota; Metazoa; Chordata; Mammalia; Primates; Hominidae
Description: Metazoan signal recognition particle RNA (ENSPTRG00000048199.1)
Source: RNAcentral
GCCGGGCAUAGUGGCUUGUGCCUGUAAUCCCAGCUACUAGGGGAGGCUGAGGCAGGAGAAUCACUUGAACCUGGGAGGCAGAGGUUGCAGUGAGCUGAGAUUGCGCCAGUGCACUCUAGCCUAGGUGACAGAGCAAGACUGUGUCUCAAAAAAAAAAAAUUGUGUUUUUUUUUUAAAGAAAAGAGGCUGGGUUUAGUGGCUUAUGCCUGUAAUUACAGCACUUUAGGAGGCUGAGACGGGCAAAUCACCUGAGGUCAGGAGCUCGAGACCAGCCUGGCCAACAUGGCGAAAUCCUGUCUCU